AACGAACGCUGGCGGCAUGCCUAAUACAUGCAAGUCGAACGAGAUCUUCGGAUCUAGUGGCGCACGGGUGCGUAACGCGUGGGAAUCUGCCCUUGGGUUCGGAAUAACUUCUGGAAACGGAAGCUAAUACCGGAUGAUGACGUAAGUCCAAAGAUUUAUCGCCCAAGGAUGAGCCCGCGUAGGAUUAGGUAGUUGGUGAGGUAAAGGCUCACCAAGCCGACGAUCCUUAGCUGGUCUGAGAGGAUGAUCAGCCACACUGGGACUGAGACACGGCCCAGACUCCUACGGGGGGCAGCAGUAGGGAAUAUUGGACAAUGGGCGAAAGCCUGAUCCAGCAAUGCCGCGUGAGUGAUGAAGGCCUUAGGGUUGUAAAGCUCUUUUACCCGGGAUGAUAAUGACAGUACCGGGAGAAUAAGCUCCGGCUAACUCCGUG
Molecule: ribosomal RNA, 433 nt
Filed under: uncultured bacterium
Lineage: Bacteria
Description: partial 16S ribosomal RNA
Rfam family: Bacterial small subunit ribosomal RNA
Source: RNAcentral